UACGUAGGGCGCAAGCGUUGUCCGGAAUUAUUGGGCGUAAAGAGCUCGUAGGCGGCUUGUCACGUCGGGUGUGAAAGCCCGGGGCUUAACCCCGGGUCUGCAUUCGAUACGGGCAGGCUUGAGUGUGGUAGGGGAGAUCGGAAUUCCUGGUGUAGCGGUGAAAUGCGCAGAUAUCAGGAGGAACACCGGUGGCGAAGGCGGAUCUCUGGGCCAUUACUGACGCUGAGGAGCGAAAGCGUGGGGAGCGAACAGG
RNAcentral lists this ribosomal RNA (253 nucleotides) under uncultured bacterium. Its description in RNAcentral is "partial 16S ribosomal RNA". It matches the Rfam family "Bacterial small subunit ribosomal RNA", at positions 524 to 776 of the family's 1533-position model. The record is from RNAcentral.